AUGUGGUCUCACGUGGCCCCGAGCUUCCUGUUUGUAGGACCUAAGAAGAGGACACUGCUGGGUCUUCUCCUGUGCCUGGUGACAGCCCCCCAAGGUGUCCUGUCCCAGGUGCAGCUGCAGGAGUCAGGCCCAGGACUGGUGCAGCCCUCGCAGACCCUGUCCCUCACCUGCACCGUUUCGGGAGGCUCUGUCACAAGCAGUUACUACUGGCAUUGGAUCCGCCAGAGCCCUGGUAAAGGGUUGGAGUGGAUGGGGUACUGGACAGGGAGCACAAGGUACAACCCAGCGUUCCAGGGCCAAAUCUCCAUCACGGCUGACACAUCAAGGAACCAGUUCUCCCUGCAGCUGAGCUCUGUCACUUCCGAGGACACGGCCGUGUAUUACUGUGCGAGGAACACCCCCUUUGCAGGCUUCCUCCAGGCUCUUCCUGACGCUGAGUGCACUGUGCCUGUGCAGUAUUCUAAUCGCACUGUCACUCAGGCACUGUUUCGUGCUCUUGGCCCCGAAACCUGA
This is a non-coding RNA of Rhinolophus ferrumequinum (greater horseshoe bat), 513 nucleotides long. NCBI's taxonomy places the organism in Eukaryota, Metazoa, Chordata, Mammalia, Chiroptera, Rhinolophidae. The record is from the annotation of a RefSeq genome assembly.